UCUCUUCCGGACCUUUCGCCGUAUGGGCGCGGGGCGACCCGCGUCUUCAUAUACCUCUUCGUGUAGAAAGUCUUUGAAUGUUUUACCAUCAUCGAGUCGCGACUUCUAGGAGACGCGAUUCUUUGAGAAAAAAGUUAUUACAACUUUCAGCAACGGAUCUCUUGGCUCUCGCAUCGAUGAAGAACGCAGCGAAUCGCGAUAUGUAAUGUGAAUUGCAGAUCUACAGUGAAUCAUCGAAUCUUUGAACGCACCUUGCGCUCCUCGGUGUUCCGAGGAGCAUGCCUGUUUGAGUGUCAGUAAAUUCUCAACCCCUCUCGAUUUGCUUCGAGCGGGUGCUUGGAUGUUGGGGGCUGCCGGAGACACUGGAUUCGUCCAGGACUCGGGCUCCUCUUAAAUGAAUCGGCUCGCGGUCGACUUUCGACUUUGCAUGACAAGGCCUUUGGCGUGAUAAUGAUCGCCGUUCGCCGAAGUGCAAGACAGAAUGGUCCCGUGCCUCUAAUGCGUCGACGCCUCUAGGGGCGUCUUCCUCAUUGACGUUUGACCUCAAAUCAGGUAGGACUACCCGCUGAACUUAAGCAUAUCAAUAAGCGGAGGAAAAGAAACUAACAAGGAUUCCCCUAGUAACUGCGAGUGAACCGGGAAAAGCUCAAAUUUU
This 655-nucleotide ribosomal RNA is filed under the name uncultured Suillus. RNAcentral describes it as "eukaryotic LSU rRNA". The stretch from base 142 to 296 matches the Rfam family "5.8S ribosomal RNA". Lineage: Eukaryota; Fungi; Basidiomycota; Agaricomycetes; Boletales; Suillaceae. The record is from RNAcentral.